UGCCCUAGAGUGGGGGACAACAGUUGGAAACGACUGCUAAUACCGCAUAAGCCCACGGUGUCGCAUGACACUGAGGGAAAAGGAUUUAUUCGCUUUAGGAUGGACUCGCGUCCAAUUAGCUAGUUGGUGAGGUAACGGCCCACCAAGGCGACGAUUGGUAGCCGGACUGAGAGGUUGAACGGCCACAUUGGGACUGAGACACGGCCCAGACUCCUACGGGAGGCAGCAGUGGGGGAUAUUGCACAAUGGGGGAAACCCUGAUGCAGCGACGCCGCGUGGAGGAAGAAGGUUUUCGGAUUGUAAACUCCUGUCGUUAGGGACGAUAAUGACGGUACCUAACAAGAAAGCACCGGCUAACUACGUGCCAGCAGCCGCGGUAAAACGUAGGGUGCAAGCGUUGUCCGGAAUUACUGGGUGUAAAGGGAGCGCAGGCGGGAAGACAAGUUGGAAGUGAAAACCAUGGGCUCAACCCAUGAAUUGCUUUCAAAACUGUUUUUCUUGAGUAGUGCAGAGGUAGAUGGAAUUCCCGGUGUAGCGGUGGAAUGCGUAGAUAUCGGGAGGAACACCAGUGGCGAAGGCGGUCUACUGGGCACCAACUGACGCUGAGGCUCGAAAGCAUGGGUAGCAAACAGGAUUAGAUACCCUGGUAGUCCAUGCCGUAAACGAUGAUUACUAGGUGUUGGGGGAUUGACCCCCUCAGUGCCGCAG
RNAcentral lists this ribosomal RNA (708 nucleotides) under uncultured bacterium. Its description in RNAcentral is "bacterial SSU rRNA". It matches the Rfam family "Bacterial small subunit ribosomal RNA", at positions 127 to 851 of the family's 1533-position model. The record is from RNAcentral.